UCGAGCGAACCUUCGGGUUAGCGGCGGACGGGUGGGUAACGCGUGGGAAUAUGCCUCUUGGUACGGAAUAGCCUCGGGAAACUGGGAGUAAUACCGUAUGUGCCCUUUGGGGGAAAGAUUUAUCGCCAAGAGAUUAGCCCGCGUUGGAUUAGGUAGUUGGUGGGGUAAUGGCCUACCAAGCCGACGAUCCAUAGCUGGUUUGAGAGGAUGAUCAGCCACACUGGGACUGAGACACGGCCCAG
Molecule: ribosomal RNA, 242 nt
Filed under: uncultured bacterium
Lineage: Bacteria
Description: partial 16S ribosomal RNA
Rfam family: Bacterial small subunit ribosomal RNA
Source: RNAcentral